AUGACGUCAAAUCAUCAUGCCCUUAUGACCUGGGCUACACACGUGCUACAAUGGUUGGUACAACGAGUUGCGAGUCGGUGACGGGCGAGCCUAAAUCUACUUAAAGCCAAAUCUCAGUUCGGAUUGUAGGCUGCAACUCGCCUACAUGAAGUCGGAAUCGCUAGUAAUCGCGGAUCAGCACGCCGCGGUGAAUACGUUCCCGGGCCUU
This 208-nucleotide ribosomal RNA is filed under the name uncultured Streptococcus sp. Its description in RNAcentral is "partial 16S ribosomal RNA". It matches the Rfam family "Bacterial small subunit ribosomal RNA", at positions 1179 to 1382 of the family's 1533-position model. The record is from RNAcentral. Lineage: Bacteria; Bacillati; Bacillota; Bacilli; Lactobacillales; Streptococcaceae.